Molecule: ribosomal RNA, 115 nt
Filed under: Fukomys damarensis (Damara mole-rat)
Lineage: Eukaryota; Metazoa; Chordata; Mammalia; Rodentia; Bathyergidae
Source: RNAcentral
GUCUACGGCCACACCACCCUGAAUGGGCCUGAUCUUGUCUGAUCUUGGAAGCUAGGCAGGGUUUUGGCUGAUUAGUACUUGGAUAGGAGAAUGAAGCAAUAUCAUUUCUUAGUAA